AACGAACGCUGGCGGCAUGCCUAACACAUGCAAGUCGAACGAGACCUUCGGGUCUAGUGGCGCAUGGGUGCGUAACGCGUCGGAACCUGCCCUUAUGUUUGGAAUAACUCCCCGACAGGGGUGCUAAUACCGGAUAAUGUCUUCGGACCAAAGAUUUAUCGCCCUGGGUUGGGCACGCGUUGGAUUAGCUAGUUGGGAGGGUAAAAGCCUACCACGGCGACGAUCCGUAGCUGGUCUGAGAGGAUGAUCAGCCACACUGGAACUGAGACACGGCCCAGACUCCUACGGGAGGAAGCAGUGGGGAAUCUUCGGCAAUGGGCGAAAGCCUGAUGUAGCAAUACCGCGUGAGUGAUGAAGGUCUUCGGAUUGUAAAACUCUGUUGUUAGGGAAGAAAAAAAGUGGAUUUAACUCUGGAGGUCUUGACGGUACCUAAAGAAUAAGCAACGGCUAACUACGUG
This 458-nucleotide ribosomal RNA is filed under the name uncultured bacterium. RNAcentral describes it as "partial 16S ribosomal RNA". It matches the Rfam family "Bacterial small subunit ribosomal RNA", at positions 29 to 507 of the family's 1533-position model. The record is from RNAcentral.